AACGUACGCUGGCGGCACGCCUAACACAUGCAAGUCGAACGAAGUAGCAAUACUUAGUGGCAGACGGGUGAGUAACAUGUAGGUAUCUGCCCUUUUGGCCUGGAAUAACACGAGGAAACUUGUGCUAAUACCGGAUAAGUCUUUACGGAGAAAGCUUUAUGCACCAUUGGAUGAGCCUGCACUUGAUUAGUUUGUUGGUGGGGUAAUGGCCUACCAAGACUGUGAUCAAUAGCUGAUUUGAGAGGAUGAUCAGCCACAUUGGGACUGAGACACGGCCCAAACUCCUACGGGAGGCAGCAGUGGGGAAUCUUGCACAAUGGAGGAAACUCUGAUGCAGCGAUGCCGCGUGAGUGAAGAAGGCCCUUGGGUUGUAAAGCUCUUUCGUCGGGGAAGAAAAUGACUGUACCCGAAUAAGAAGGUCCGGCUAACUUCGUGCCAGCAGCCGCGGUAAUACGAAGGGACCUAGCGUAGUUCGGAAUUACUGGGCUUAAAGAGUUCGUAGGUGGUUGAAAAAGUUAGUGGUGAAAUCCCAGAGCUUAACUCUGGAACUGCCAUUAAAACUUUUCAGCUAGAGUAUGAUAGAGGAAAGCAGAAUUUCUAGUGUAGAGGUGAAAUUCGUAGAUAUUAGAAAGAAUACCAAUUGCGAAGGCAGCUUUCUGGAUCAUUACUGACACUGAGGAACGAAAGCAUGGGUAGCGAAGAGGAUUAGAUACCCUCGUAGUCCAUGCCGUAAACGAUGUGUGUUAGACGUUGGAAAUUUAUUUUCAGUGUCGCAGGGAAACCGAUAAACACACCGCCUGGGGAGUACGACCGCAAGGUUAAAACUCAAAUGAAUUGACGGGGACCCGCACAAGUAGUGGAGCAUGUGGUUUAAUUCGAAGAUACGCGCAGAACCUUACCAACACUUGACAUGUUCGUCGCGACUCUAAGAGAUUAGAGUUUUCGGUUCGGCCGGACGAAACACAGGUGCUGCAUGGCUGUCGUCAGCUCGUGUCGUGAGAUGUUGGGUUAAGUCCCGCAACGAGCGCAACCCUCACUUUUAGUUGCCAUCAUUAAGUUGGGCACUCUGAAAGAACUGCCAGUGAUAAGCUGGAGGAAGGUGGGGAUGACGUCAAGUCCUCAUGGCCCUUACGUGUUGGGCUACACACGUGCUACAAUGGUAUCUACAACAGGAAGCAAGACUGCGAAGUUAAGCAAAUCCCUAAAAGAUACCUCAGUUCGGAUUGCACUCUGCAACUCGAGUGCAUGAAGCUGGAAUUACUAGUAAUCGUGGAUCAGCGUGCCACGGUGAAUGCGUUCCCGGGUCU
Molecule: ribosomal RNA, 1307 nt
Filed under: uncultured bacterium
Lineage: Bacteria
Description: bacterial SSU rRNA
Rfam family: Bacterial small subunit ribosomal RNA
Source: RNAcentral